Molecule: ribosomal RNA, 250 nt
Filed under: Salmonella enterica subsp. salamae serovar 42:z:1,5
Lineage: Bacteria; Pseudomonadati; Pseudomonadota; Gammaproteobacteria; Enterobacterales; Enterobacteriaceae
Description: partial 23S ribosomal RNA
Rfam family: Bacterial large subunit ribosomal RNA
Source: RNAcentral
GGCGGGACACGUGGUAUCCUGUCUGAAUAUGGGGGGACCAUCCUCCAAGGCUAAAUACUCCUGACUGACCGAUAGUGAACCAGUACCGUGAGGGAAAGGCGAAAAGAACCCCGGCGAGGGGAGUGAAACAGAACCUGAAACCGUGUACGUACAAGCAGUGGGAGCACAGGUUUACCUGUGUGACUGCGUACCUUUUGUAUAAUGGGUCAGCGACUUAUAUUCUGUAGCAAGGUUAACCGCAUAGGGGAGC